This 844-nucleotide long non-coding RNA is filed under the name Homo sapiens (human). RNAcentral's name for it is "non-protein coding lnc-SSTR1-7:1". The record is from RNAcentral. Lineage: Eukaryota; Metazoa; Chordata; Mammalia; Primates; Hominidae.
AGCUGUCACAGUUGAUAUCAAAUCAAUUUGCUGGGAAAAGCAAGCAUUCAAUGAGUCUCUUCUUGUUUAAAAUGCAUCACUGAUAUGCUAUUGGGGAGGUCCCAAUUAUUAAUUAAUCAUUUCAACAAAUUUGCUAUGAUAAGCAUAUUACACUCAGAAUAGUCAUUUCUUAUAUCCUGAAAAAGAAUGGAAGACAUGAGGUGAGUUCUUAGGAGACUCUGGCAGUAGUUCUCCUAAUUUUAAUGUUAGAAAAUAUAAGCUAGUAACAGCAGAAAGUUGGAUUAUUCUUGAUAAAUUGAAGAUGUAAUGACAAAGAGUGACACAAGGAGGCAACAUAAAGUCUGACAGCAGGAUUCUUUACCAAAGUGCCUUUCUACGCCCAUAGGAAAAUCAACCAAGUUAAAGAUAACUAGCAUAAAAUUAAGGACAUUGGUUAUUAAGGUUACAGAAGACUGUACACCGCACAAACCACAAACUUUACAGAUGUGACUACUUGAUACUUUGAUUUAUGCCUCUAUUUCAGCAUCUCCCAACAGGUUACGAUAUGCAAAAGAAUGAACUCCAGAAUGGUAUCUUGAAUGCUUUCUAUUCUGCUAUAUUUAUUCUAGGGUUUGUUUGGUGUCUUUUCAUGAUCAAGGAUCAAAGAUCUCAAUUAAUCUUUUACCAUCAAUUUAUGUUGACUACAGAGUUACUUGCUUCUGUCAUCAAAAUGUCUUUGAAGUUUGCUGUUUGCUUUUUAUGUGUCAAUAUUCUGCAAUUUUUGCUCUAUUUGCAUCUAUGUGAAAUGGCCUUUAAAACUUUGCUGCCUCUUAUUCUGCAAGCAAAGUAAAAGGGACUAAAAGUG